GUACAGUGGCAGCCACAUUAGCACGAGGCCGGCAGUCAGAUCCCCAGAACCUCCACAAAAGCUGGGGCUCAUUCAAAAGCUGUGUUCUGAGCGACGCUUUUGCCAUCUCGUCUGAAGUCAUAGGGCUCCGUUCUUUCUCCCUGCUGGGGUUUGUCCCCACACCCACCAUGUUCUCAGUUCCUCUCCACUGACCAUGCUUAUGCAUGAGUUUCCAGUCUUCCCAAAGGGAUGUCAGCACCAGGACUCGGGGAAAUUGGUUUCCACUGUGCUCCCCACGCCCCGAGCAGCGCCGAGUGCAGCGGGCACGGGAUAACGUAGGGUGUCUAGAACGGUUAAACUCUCAGACACAGAAAGACAACAGAGCGCAUGGGAUGGCAUCUAACAGCACAGACGUGGAGAUUUCAAGGUGGAAAGACCUGCUCAGGUCGAGGAAGGAUGCAGUCUGUGCCUGUGUGGGCUCGCUUAGCCCUUCUGCACUGUACACUUCAAACGGCUAAAAUGGUGAUUCUGUAACUAAA
This is a long non-coding RNA of Microtus oregoni (creeping vole), 518 nucleotides long. RefSeq lists it as uncharacterized. The transcript is spliced from 3 exons. The record is from RefSeq and is a predicted model, not a curated record. NCBI's taxonomy places the organism in Eukaryota, Metazoa, Chordata, Mammalia, Rodentia, Cricetidae.